UGGAGAGGAUAUGGGAAGUUCUAGGUUUGAGUCCCACUAGGGAUAAAGAAACUGAAAAUAUGUUUCUUAUCCAGAAAGUAAAAGAACCAAAAGAAAAGAAUAGAUGAAACAUAACUCAUAUGUGCACACAGUUGUACAUGUUUAAUACCUCAAUCUAUUUUACUUAGUCAUUUUUGUUGGAAUGGCGCAACCAGUGCCAAGACAGGCUUAAUCUUUGCACUGACCAACAAGAACUUCCUAUAAAGUGUUUAGCUUGAGAUGUACACAUACCAGUGACACUUGGGGGUGCAUAAAUUGUACAUGUUUAAUACCUCAAUCUAUUUUACUUAGUCAUUUUUGUUGGAAUGGCGCAACCAGUGCCAAGACAGGCUUAAUCUUUGCACUGACCAACAAGAACUUCCUAUAAAGUGUUUAGCUUGAGAUGUACACAUACCAGUGACACUUGGGGGUGCAUAAAUUGUUGAUAUUAUAAAUUACUGUCACUUUCAUGCGAUCACUAAGUGUGCUGCUUUGAUAUCUUUCUUGAACUGGCCAAAUCUUGCUGGGUGAUGCUAGUUUGACUUUUGAGCCCCCUGCUGUUGGUCUAAAUUGAUAUUCAAAUGUAUGUUCUCCUGGAUUACCUGUCAUGGCGUUUCUGUGUGUGUACUUCGUUGUUUCUUAGUCAAUCUUUUGCUUUUAUUUUUAACAGCAUGUUCUGGAGCAUGGACAACCACACGAGCGCUCUGCUAUAAUUAAGGAAUUAGCUGGAAAGAUAGUUCAGAUGAGUCAGCAGAAGUUUGCCUCCAAUGUUGUGGAGAAGUGUUUAACUUUUGGCGGUCCUGCUGAGCGCCAGAUCCUGGUGAAUGAGAUGCUUGGCACUACUGAUGAGAAUGAGCCUCUUCAGGUUUGGCCAAUCACUAUUUACUUUUCUGCCACUAGAUGGAAUGACCAAGUCAAAUGGGGGAGUGUUUCUAUAUAAGGCCUUUGAUUGGUAGUGGAGCCAGAUCAGAAACAUUUUUCUGGAACCUGUUAUUUAAUGUCUCUGUCCUGCCAUGGUAAUGCUGUACUUGGCACCUCUGAAUUCUCUUAACCAUGAAUUUUGCAUGGUAAGCCUAAAGUGGAACUGCAUCUAUUGAUGUAGCGGCUUAUGGGAAAUGAGCUUUCCCCAAGCUUAACCUCUAGCCGGUUUCACAAGAUUUAUGAACUUGAACUUAAUGUUUUAUGUCAUAUUCUAGGUAAAUAACAUUUUUUUUUUUCCGUAUUUUUAACCAGAGUUAAAUGUGGUUUGAAAUUAGUUCUGCUUGUAGUGUUUUUAGCAAUGGUUCUAGUGUUCCUUUCAUUUUCCCAGUACAGCUGUCUGUCGAAAAAGAAAUUGAGAAAGGAAAAAUCCUAUGAUUCUGAUGCUAUUAAAAUUUUGCUUAUUGCUUGAUUUCAUGGUUACGUCAACAUAUAGUUAUUUCCCACUUUGUUGUUCUUGUUGCUUGUGCAUCUAGGCUAUGAUGAAAGAUCAGUUUGCAAACUAUGUUGUACAAAAGGUGCUGGAGACUUGUGAUGACCAGCAGCGUGAGCUGAUCUUGUCCCGAAUUAAGGUUCAUCUUAAUGCACUGAAGAAAUACACUUAUGGAAAGCAUAUUGUUGCACGUGUAGAGAAACUCGUUGCUGCUGGGGGUACCUAUCCUUUCCCUCAUAUUUUACUUUAGCAUGCAUAUUAAAUAGUCGCUCAGGCUGCAUUUUUUAAGAAAGAAAACAUGUCUUUGCAGUUGCCUUUUUCUGUGUUUAUUCUUCAUUCCUUUUAGGAUGUGGACGUGCUGCUUUUUUGCUAGAUAAACACGACUAACUGACAAAUUGGGAUUGGUGGAUAACACAUGGGUUAAACUGCCAUAGACAUACUUGUUUAUAUUGGCAGGAGUUUUUUAGUAGUUCACUGAUAAUGGAAUUUGUAAAUUUUGGUUGGAGAUCUUUUGGUUCAGCCUUGCUAUGAAAUAUGGACUUCUGAUGACAUUUUACUGAUUAGAUGGCAUGAUCACUGCACUCAUAGACAAAAUGCUAAGGAUUGCAUACGUUCUUCCAAAUGCCUAAUGGGAACAUUGGAUAACCCUUGUGUAUGGAAAUGAUCAAUGCCUAGUUCCUCAUUCUGAUUUUGUUCUUAUGUGUUAUGAAUACCAUCUUAACAUAUGCAUGAUUCUUCCAUGUUCAGAUAGCUCUCUAACCCUUUGUACAUCAAAUUGUUUGCAGAAAGGAGAAUUGCUAUUCAGUCUCCACACCCUGCUUAGGUGGGCAUAGGAAAGAAAGAAGUUGUACAGCUAACUGAGGCUAGUGUGAGCUUCCUUUCUUCUUCUCUUUCUCUGGAAUCUAGAGCUAUGGUUCUACUAUCUCUUUAAGAUAGAUAUGAGCUGAUUGGCAAUAAAGCUGUUCUUGUACUGGAAAACUGUACAUUGUGUAGUUUAAGGUUUAUACAUAUAAUCAAGCAAGCUGAGAGGUUCGGGUGUUCAAUACACUUGAAGUCCAUGCAGAGGAGAUAAAUGACUAUACAAGUUUUUAAGGGUGUAAAAAAUGAUUAAAAUGGUGAGGUAGUUUAUAUGUUAACGCGACUGUACAAAUUUCGCCAUGUGGAGAGCUGUUGAUGUUUAGGUGAGGCCAGGAUAUUUUUGUUUAAUGUAUGCUUAUUGACUACUUUCUUUCUUUUAAAGUACAAUUUUCUCCUGUGCUCAAAGUAUCUUGUUUUGGUCUACUUUUUCUUUGUAUUUGUUCUUGGUGGUGUUAAUAUAUGGUUCAUUUUAUGCAAUCUAUUCCUCCAAUUAUACGUAGUUUCUCUGAAUGAAGAGAUGUCGACCUUUCGGGUAGUUUCAUUCUUCCCAAUUUCAGCCUGGGAUUGCACCCAUUGGUUGCACCAUACUCAUGGCAUUGCCUCAACUCUGAAUUAGCAGGGACCAUUUGAAAACCAAGUAUGUCCAAUUGUGAUUGCUUUUAGGGAGGGUAAGAUAAUAAUGCGAGGAUGGUAGAGAGUAGAGUGAUUGUAGCUGGAUUUGAAAGUGGAAUAGAGCACACUAUUGAAUCAAAAACCUUAACUGUUAAACAUGUUUUGGGAAUGAAUAUCUGUGGUUAAAUCCAAAGCCCAUUUUCCUCCAAAGGGGGGUUAGAAAAAAAAAAUGAGAAUGCUAUUUUGGGGGCAAAAUUAUUUCUUUGAAAUUUCUGGAUUUGGGGUUUGUCAAACCUGUUAGAGGUGUCAACUUAGCUUAGGAGUGUGGCUUUGAUGGCUCAAAAUCUGAAUCAACAAUUGAAGUCUGUUCUGCAAAUUGGAAGAGCCAAGUAUUACAGGUAUCUUAUAGAUGCUACAUCUUCUUGCUUUCCCUACAUCUUUCCAUAAUAAUGUUGAGUCAAAUAAUGACUGUUGCUAAACACAAGUUUGUAGGGAGGUUAAACCAGUUAGCCAAUUUUGAUGCAUGUCUCGUUUAAAUUAACUUGAAAAUUCAGGUCUUGCAUUCCAGUACUCAAGGUCUCUCAGAUGCCACAAACAAAUAUUGAUUUUCAGGAUGGUUGGAAAAAGCCAUGAAUCACAAGUUGAUAUGAAUUUUGUGGGAAUGAUAGUUUUUCAGAUAUUUUGUAAAUAAAAGUUUGUUUAGGAAUUAAAAUGUUUUUAAUAUAUAUUUUUUUAUAUUUUUAAAAAUAAUUUUUACAUGUGGUGCUUAAUUUUUAUUUAUUUUUCAUAUUUAUAUAAUUAUUUUUAAAAACAAUCAUUAAAAAAAUGAAGUGAAAACAACUGAAUGACUUUAUUUGAAAACAGUUACAGCAGGUAGCCUCCCAAUCAAAUUUGUCUUGCUGCAAAAGUACUAAUUCAGAUAUCUGUGUUCUCAAAGAGGAAGGCCUCAACAGUUCAUAACAAUUUCAUAAAAUUCUAAUUAAUCUCCAAAAAUGACCCAAGAAUUUGUUUUUUCUUUUGUCGUAUGAACUUCACAGAAUACAUUGCACAAUUCUCUACCAUUUCUUAAGGAUGGCAAAACUAGUGGUACAGAGACAUCAAGAAGCUUACACAGAAUCUCUCUUUUGAAUUCUAAUCAUCACCACUCUCUUCAUCAAUCUUCUGCCCAAAACCCCUUGGCCCAGCUCUAGCUCUCACCUUCCUCUUCUUCCCAUUCUUCUUCUUGGCUGACUCUUCUUUCUCAAACUUCUCCUUCUCCCUCUUCUGCAAGAAAUCUGACACAGCUAUGUAUAUAACCUGAAAAACCCCAAUCAUAAUUUCAGCCAAAAACUACAAGAACCCAUCAAUUCCGACCAAAAACAUGAGCAAAUUUCAGAAAUUUACUUUACCCCUAUAGUGAGAAUAGUGAGAGCAACAAAAGCAACGAAGAGAAGAGCCGAUAUAACGGUGGAGACACCCUCAUCACUAGUGGACACUAUCUGCUGGGAAUUCUCAAGUGGGGUCACCUCUGAAGGCAAAGCAUCUUCAGAUACAGCGGAUAUUCUCCAAAGUUGGGUGCUUUUCUGAGGAAUUGCAUGAGGCGGGUGGUGAAAAUUGAUGGUUUUCUUUCGAGGGGUAGUGGUUCGUAAGGCAAGAAGUGGGAUGAAUGGCAGAGAUGAAUUGUGGAUGUGAAGCGAAUUGGGAGGUUUUGAGUUGAAAAUGGAGGGGAAAGGCAGUGGAGAUAGAGAUCCACAUACAGAUGCAGAAGCCAUGGUUCACCUACUUCCACUUUCUCUCUCUCUCUCUCUAUCCCUGCUCAACUUGCAGAAGUGCUGACUCUAUAGAAGGGGAAUCUUAGGGUACUUUUUGAAUGUACAGUAAUUUCUGUAUAAGCUUGUGAUUAUUGAUUGCCAUAACCAUCAGAACCUCAUGAUGACCCCAUAAUAAAAUAAAAUAAAUUAAAAUAAAAAAACCUCUUUAUUUAAUCCUUUAACUCUAGGGGGUUGCAGGUUUAGUGAUUGUGCUCCACAAGAAUGUGACCAAGCCUAGAUGAGGCCCAUGACAGUUUUCAAAUGAGAACAACAGCCCAAGUCCUGGUAACAUGGCACCUUGCAACAUUAGAUUGGGCCUUUAAAGGCCCAAAAAUGAACAAAAUGUGUUCGGCUCCCUUCUCGGUAAGCGUUGAAAACGCACCAUCAAUUAAGUGACGUCACAUAUGCACUUUCAAUGUCUUGGUUUUGGUACCGUAUCUCAUUUCCUUAAUCUCAUUGAUACUAAAUGGUCGGAUAUUUUACUACCUUAAAUAAUUUAGUGUAUAUCUCGUAGCAGUGUAUGCCAGUUGGCUUUCAUGCCACUUGGUCCCUCCUCACAUGGCGCCUCUUCAUCAUUGGACCCUACUUACUAAAAAUUAUGCCCUUUAUUCUCCAUCGUCCCAUAUGCCAUGCCAACUACAAACACCCUAAAUCAAACAAAAUAUCAACAUAACCCCCACCCAAGCUUACAUGCUCAUGCCUAACUAAUGUAUAUUACUAACGAAAAAUGUCUUUUAAUAAAAAUUUGAAUGUUUAAUAAAAUUAAAAAAUAUAUUUAUUUUUAAAAUUUUAUUAAAAUGACAUAGAAUAGACAUAUAGAAAUUUUUGAAGACAGAUCGUUAUACCCGGAUAUCUUCAUUAAAAUCUAGAUUGUUAUAAAUGAAUAAAAAUAAUGAAAAAUCAUGUAAUCAUACAUCAACUAACAAAAAUAUGAUAUUUUAGAAUUUUGUUUUUUGUAUUUUAAUUUUAGUGUAAAAUGGAAAAAAAUAUUGUCUAUUUAUGCACUCCAAUAAUGCUUUCAAAUUCGUUCUAUAAUUACCCUCAAAAGUAAAAGACAAAGUACACAUCAAUUUAAUAUCAUAUUGACAAGUACAUGUAUAAUUUAUUUUUAUUAUUUCUCUUAUAUCAAUAUAUCUCACUUACCACUUACCUCCUUCUCCAUUUUUUUUCCUCUCUUCCCAUCAUAAUAUGUUGUCACCUAUUAUAGUUUUUAUUAUUAGUUUUCUCUUUUUCCUUUAUAUUCUUUUUAAUAUGCUCAUAUAUUUUCUCAUAAAACUUCUUUAAUUUUUUUAUUUUUUUACUCUCUAAUUUCUCCAUAUUUAUUGAUUUUAAUUAUUUUUUGACAUAUUAAAAUUAAAAUGAUAAUAUAUAAUAAAUAGUUAAUAUAACAAAUUAAAUAAAAAACAAAAAUAUAUAAUGAACAAAAAUGAAAAUAUUAUUCCACAAAUAACAUACUUGAUGAUUUUAAAUAUUAAUUAUAAUAAUACAUUUGAUAAAUUAGGGUUUAAAUUUAAAUAUUUUAUUUUAUUAUUUAGAGGUUUAUGAUAUAAGUUUUUUUAUAUUAAUACUAAACAAAAAAUUUAUUUAUUUGUAAAUUCUUUCACAUGUAAAAGUAAAAAUAUAUUUGUAAUACUAUUUUAUUAUUUACAUAAUUUUUCUUUUAAUUUUCAUUUUAAAUUUAUCAUAUCAAAAUCACAAUAAGUGAUGGUGUUUUUAUCAUUUUUCCUAUGAUUUUAAUUUGAUUAUGAAUCUAACAUUUUGUUUGGUUAAAAUCUUUAAUUUUUAACUAUAAAAUAUAAAAGAAAAUAUAAUUUUCAUAAAAAAAUUGAAUAUAACCUUUUAUAUUAAUUUCAUAAAAAAUAGGUACAUCCUUAAAAAAAAAAAAAAAAAAGAAGGUAAAUUCAUGCUUAGAGGAAUCAGAACCAUUAUCAUACUUAUCAUGGUGUAUAUUUUCCUUUGGAAUCCUCAACAAGUAAUUGGAAGUCCUCACCCAACCCAAAACGAACUUUGGAAUCCUAGGUAUAGCCAUUCUUAGAAGAACCAAGACCCUUAUCUCCAUUCUCAUGACUCAUAUAUAUCUUUAGGAACCUUCGAGAAGGAAUUGGAGGUUGUUUCCCACCCUAUAAUAGACAUUGGAACCCAAGAUACAUAUAAAGAUAAUUUGGUACAUUAUUUACAAAAUUUGGUACAUCUUUUACAAAAUUUAACACAUUCUUAAAACAAUUUGGUACAUCCAAUCCAUGAGCUACUAGGACCUCUAUAUUUAUUAUCCAUGGCUCAUUUAUUUCUUUAAAGAUCUUUAGAGGUUGUUCUUUACUUUGAAAUGAACUUUUGAACUCAAGGUACAUCCUUAAGGAAAGUUGGUACAUCGUUAAGAAAUUUUGGUACAUCUAAUCCUUGGGCUAUCGAGAUCUCUAUCUAUCUUCCCAUGGUCCAAUUAUCCUUUAAGGACCCUCAAGUAGCAAUUGAAGGUCAUUCCCCACCUCGGAACAAACUUUGGCACUCUUGUUACAUUUUUUACAAAAUUUGAUAUAUCAUUUACAAAAUUUGGUACAUCAUUCACAAAAUUUGAUGCAUCCUUAAAAAUAUUUGGCACAUCCAAUCCUUGAACUAUCGAAACCUCUAUUUAAUUACUCAUGAUUCGUUUAUUCCCUUAGGGAUCUUUGGAAAGUGAUUGGAGGUUAUUUGCUACUUCGAAACGAACUUUGGAACCUUAGGUACAUCCUUGAGAAAAUUUGAUACAUCCAAUCCUUGAGCUAAUGAGACACCUAUCUCAUUUUCCAUGGUCCAUUUCUUCAUUUGGAGACCCUCAAGAAGUGAUUGGAGGUAGUUCCUCACCUCGGAAAGCACUUUGGCAACUUUGGUACAUCCUCCACAAAAUUUGGUACAUCCUUAAAAAAAUUUGAUACAUCCAAUCCUUGAGCUACCGAGACCUCUAUCUUAUUACCCAUGGUCUGUUUAUUCCUUUAAGGAUCUUUGGAAAGUGAUUGGAAGUCAUUCCCUACUUUGAAACAAACUUUGCAGCCCUAGGUACAUCCUUAAGAAAAUUUGAUACAUCUAGUCCUUAAACUAUCGAGACACCUAUUUUCCAUCACAAGGCCCAUUUAUUUAUCUGGACAACCUUAGGAAGUGAUUGGAGGUAGUUCCCUACUUCAGAACAGACUUUGACCCUCUUGGUACAUCCUUUAUAAAAUUUGGUACAUCUUUCACAAAAUUUGUUAUAUCCUUAAAAAUAUUUGGUACAUCCAAUUCUUGAGUUAAUGACACCCCUAUCUUAUUACCCAUAGUCUGUUUAUUCUUUUAGCGAUUUUUGGAAAGUGAUUGGAGGUUGUUCCCUAUUUCGAAACGGACUUUGGAACCCCAAGUACAUCCUUGAGAAAAUUUGAUACAACCAAUCCUUAAGCUAACGAGACACCUAUCUCCCUUUCCAUGGUCUAUUUCUUCAUUUGGAGACCCUUGGGAAGUGAUUGGUGGUCAUUCCCCACCUCAAAAUGGACUUUGGCACCCUUCAUACAUCACUUUCAAAAUUUGGUACAUUCAAUCUUAAACUACUGGAACCCUUAUCUUAUUACCCAUGGUUCGUUCAUUCCUUUAGGGAUAUUUGAAAAGUGAUUGGAGGUCGUCCCCUACUCCAAAAUAUACUUUGGAACCCUAUGUACAUCCUUAAGAAAAUUUGAUACAUCCAAUCUUUGAGCUAACAGGACACCUGUCUUCCUUCCUACGGUUCAUUUAUCCAUUUGGAUAGCCUUAGGAAGUGAUUGGAGGUUGUUCCCCACUUUAGAACGGACUUUGGCCCCCUUGAUACAUUCUUUACAAAAUUUGGUACACCCUUUAUAGAAUUUGAAACAUCUUUCAUAAAAUUUGGUAUAUUCUUAAAAAAAUUUGAUACAUCUAAUCUUUGAGCUACUGGAACCCCUAUCUUAUUACCCAUGCUACGUUUAUUCCUUAGGGAUCUUUGGAAAGUGAUUGGAGGUCUUUCCCUACUCCGAAACAUACUUUGGAACCCUAGGUACAUCCUUGAGAAAAUUUGAUACAUUCAAUCCUUGAGCCCACAAGACACCUAUCUCCAUUUCCAUGGUCUAUUUCUUCAUUUGAAGACCCUCAGGAAGUGAUUGGAGGCCAUUCACCACCUCGGAACGGACUUUGGAACCCUUCAUAUAUAUUUUUCAAAAUUUGGUAUAUCCUUCACAAAAUUUGAUACAUCCUUAAAAAAAUUUGGUACAUACAAUCCUUGAGCUAUCGAGACCCUUAUCUUAUUACCCAUGAUCCGUUCAUUCCUUUAGGGAUCUUUGGAAAAUGAUUGGAGGUCGUCCUCUACUCCAAAAUACUCCAAAAUAGACUUUGGAACCCGAGAUACAUCCUUAAGAAAAUUUGAUACAUCCAAUCUUUGAGCUAAUGAGAUACCUAUCUUCCUUCCUUCUCAUGGUCCAUUUAUCCAUUUGGAUAGACUAAGAAAAUGAUUGGAGGUCAUUCCCCAUUUCAAAACGGACUUUGGCCUUUUUGGUACAUCAUUUAUAAAAUUUGGUACAUCCUUAAAAAAAUUUGAUACAACCGAUCUUUGAGCUAUCGAGACCCCUAUCUUAUUUCUCAUGCUCCGUUUAUUCCUUUAGGGAUCUUUGAAAAGUGAUUGAAGGUUGUUUCCUACUCCGAAAUGGACUUUGGAACCCUAUGUACAUCCUUAAGAAAUUUAAUACAUCCAAUCCUUGAGUUAACGAGACACCUAUCUCCCUUUUCAUGGUCCAUUUCUUCAUUUGAAGACCCUCAAGAAGUGUGAUUAGAGGUCAUUCCCUACUUCAGAAUGGACUUUGGCACUUUUGAUACAUCCUUUACAAAAUUUGGUACAUUCAUAAAAAAAUUUAGUACAUCUAAUCCUUGAGCUACUAAGACUCUUAUCUUAUUACCCAUGGAUCAUUUAUUUCUUUAGGGAUCUUUGGAAAGUAAUUGGAUAUCGUUCCUUACUCUGAAACAAAUUUUAGAACCCUACGUACAUUUUUAAAAAAAUUUGGUACAUCCAAUCAUUGAGCUAACGAGACACAUAUUUUUUCCCAUCGUGCAUUUAUUCAUUUGGACAACCUUAGGAAGUGAUUGGAGGUCGCUUCCCACUUUAAAACGAACUUUGACCCCCUUGGCACAUCCUGUACAAAAUUUGGUACAUUCUUUAUAAAAUUUGGUACAUCCUUUUGUAGACUCUCAAUUUUGUCCAUUGACACUUGCAUGUAUCUUGGGGGUGUCGCCCGCACCCGACCUUUGUAUGUCACGACCAUGGGGCCCUUGUUGGGCUUAAUCGGUUUUCAGACCUCACUUGAGUUCACCUAUUGUUCAAUUUAGUGCAAGCGAUUGGUUCAUUAUGAAAUGAUAUCAUGGUCAAUUCUUUGGUUUGUAUCAUACUACAGGUUAAAGGUUAAGGUCUCCACACAAACUUCAGUUCAAUUGGAGCUUGUUGAAGCCUGUCCAAAUCUUGAGCACUCUGGCUUGUUUUAGUCAUUUCUCCCUCAUCCGAGCUUGGAAUUGCGCACCAUUUUUUUUUUGUUGGAUUCCCUAUUCUUCGACAAACAUUUAUCAAAAUUUGAGAAUUUUUCUCAACUGGAAUGACCGGUUUGUUUUGGCAUUCUUGGCACCUUAGGCCCAUUUAGAUACACCUGACCCGGUAGGUACACUCCUAGGACACUUAUACACAUGUCCUUAAUUUAAUUCCCACCUAAUUCACCUUGGCACUUGCCACUUAGGUCACCUAGGUAAUUUAGAUGUUUUUUUGGGCUUAAUUCCCUAAAACUAAUUUUUUAAUUGAUUUAUUUUUUAGAUUAGGAGAGUAUUUAACGAGAUUUUUUUUGUUUGGAUUGCUUGAGAUGAAUUUUCAAUAUUAAUUGUGUCAAUUUGAUAUUUUGCUUUUUUUAUUUUUUUUAUUUGUGUAUUAGUUUAAUAUUUAGAUUAUUGUUACGUGCAUGUGAUAUUUAUUUCUUUUUCCUGCUUUAUUUAUUUAUUCAUUUACGUAUUUAUUUUCAGAAAAAUGUAGGUGAUUAGGAAUCUUGCAUUAUUAUUAGUUAUUAUUAUUAUUAUUAUUAUUAUUACUAUGUACUUACUGUAUGUUUGGUUUUUAUUAUUACACUUUUCUUAUUUUAUUUUUCAUUUUUUUAUAUAGGUUUGUUUACCUUUAUUUUAUUUUUAUUCUUUUAGUUUAUUAAAAAAAAGAAAAAAAAAUGGGGAACCAGUGGACAGCAUGGGAGGAGGGAGAGAGAGAGAGGUUGGAUUUUUUGCUGAAAAUUAAAAGGCUUUGAUGGGAAAAAAAAAGGGUAGAUUACAAGAAAUGGAAAAAGGGGAGCUGGGUGAGAAUCUUAUUAGAGAAUAAAAGGGAAAUCAAAAGGAAAAAUUUGAGAGGGAGGUUACCAAUGAGCUGCAUGGAGAAGAGACAUGGGCCAUUUUCAAGAGGGAAUGAAGAGGUUUUCAAGAGAGUGAAAUAAAAAUGAGGCUUAGGAGAUAAGAAAAGGGAGUUUGAGAAGAGAAGUUAGGAAGGUUUUGAAGAGGAACAGAUUCGGGGAGGUGAAGAAAAGAGAAAGAGAACAAAGAACAAAGAGAGAAAAGAACGUUUCAGAGAGUAAGAGAGGAGAUUGGAAAUAAAAAGAAAAAAAAUAGAGAAGAUGGGAGAAUUUUAGUUAGUUCUUGGGACUUGGAGAAAGAGAACUUACCGGUCUUUGAAGAAUGAAAUAGGUGUUCUCAGGUAUGAUCACUGUAACUCUUACAUUCAUUUCCGUUUAUGAAUUCUAUUGAUUAUAGACUGAUGUUGGAUUUGGAAUUGUUUUAUUUUAUAUCAUGCUCUUGGGAUUUCAGUUGAGAAUUGAUGUCCACUUUUAUAUUGAAAAUGGUUCGUUUAUCUGUUUUCUCUUGCGAUCAUGCUCUAUUUUAGGAUUUUUUUUUUUUUUUUUCGUUUCUAUUGAAUAUACGAUCCUUUUGUGGUUUUGUUGGGAUCCUUGCCCAGGUUGAGUCACUACCCGACGUCUGUCAGUUCAAUAGCUUUUCCAAGUAUUUAACCUACUGUUGGAUCAAGCUGGGUGUAUGGGUUAACACUGAGGGUCUCCAAAAAGCCCGCGGCCUGCUUUAGGCCUGGCCUGGCCCAAGCCCGCUCUGCCCGAGCCCGUUUCUGGGCGGGCCGACCCGGCCCGUAGGCCCGCCUCUUUAAAAAAAAACUACAAAAAUAAAAAGUAUUAAAAAAAAUAUUCAUUUCAAAAUUUUAUUCAUUGAAUGUAUAAUUACAUUUGAAAAUGUGGGAAAAGUUUACAUCACUACAAAAUAAAUACAUUCCAACUAGGUUGGCACCUAUUUAUUUGUCAAUCAUCUGUAUUUUUCAACCACAAAAAAUAAAAAUAAAAAUAUAAUAUACAUUUAGUCAUUAUUUUCUGGCGGUGAUGGCGAACUAUCAUGCAUCCAUGAAGAUCUUGAUAAUUUUAAAGAUUCCAAAUCGGCAAGCAUCUCUGUUUCUCGAAUGGAAUCGUACAUCCUUUUAUUUGCUAUUUCCCAAUCUUUCACACAUAUCCCUACUUCAAUAACAUCUAGCGCUAAGUUGCAUCGUUUUUUACUAACUACUCUUCCACAUGCACUAAAAGCAGCUUCUGAUGCAACUGUACUCACAGGAACUGUUAGUACAUCACGAGCAAUUAUAGAAAGCACAGGAUAUUUGUAUUGAUGUGAUUUCCACCAUAUUAAAAUAUCAAAAUCUUCUUGAUUUUCAAAUGAAAUUAUAUCAGUAUUAAGAUAUUUAUCUAAAUCAGAUGUAUUAUUUGGAGAACUAUUUGUUGUCUUUUUUUGACUUUUCAACAUUUCUAGAGCUCCUUUAUAAAAAGAUGAGGAGUUUGUAGAUGUAAGUGGUAAUUUAAUAGUUUUAAUAUCAUUACCAUAUUUUUCUUUAUAAUAGUUAUAUAAAUUAUAUAAUAAUGAAUUUAUUUUAUUUUUAAUUUCUUCAAUUUUUAUUUGGUCAUUAAAAUAAAUAAUUGUUAACCAUUCAUCUAAAGCUUCAAAUUUCAAUCUAGGGUCCACAAUUAAAGCAAUAUAAAAAAUUAAAGGUAUUUCUCCCCAAUAUUUUCUAAAUUUUUCUAUCAUUGCAAAUAUUGUAUCAUUAAAUAUUUCAAAACUUAAAUAUUUUUUAAGUACAAUAAAAAUAUUAGUAAUUUGCAUAAUAACUCGAUUUGAAGUUGGAUAAUAUACACCACAAAAAAUGUUUGUUGAAGUAUCAAAAAUUUCAAAAAGAUCUCUUAAAAGAUCCACAAUAUGCCAAUCAUAAUCAUUUAAUGCAUAAAUAUCUGCUUCACAAUCAUUGUUAAUUAAUUGUAUUUCAUAUAAUUCGACUCCUUUUCUAUAUUUUGUAAUAUUUUGUAAAAGUUUAUAUGUGGAAUUCCAUCUAAUGGCCAUAUCCAAAUUUAUAUUUUUUCUUUUCAUAUUUAACAUUUUGCAACAAUAAAAAAAUAAAUCAUGUUUUGCUUGAGAACUAUUAAUACUAUAUGCAAUGCCUCUAAUUUUUUCUAAUGUACUAUCAACAUUUUUUAAUCCAUCCUUUACAAUUAAAUUUAAAAUAUGUGCACAACAACGCACAUGAAAUAUUUUAGCAUGAUCUUCUUUUACUUGCCAAUAUUGUUUUAGUCUAUGUAUUGCUGCAUCAUUAUUAGCAACAUUAUCUAAUGUUAUUAUCAAUAUUUUAUCACGAAUGCCUAAAUCUAUAAUUUCAUCAUUUAUUAAAGAUGCUAUAUUUUUACCACUAUGUAGAGCAUUUAUUAAUUUAAAUGAAAUUAUUCUUUUAUUUAAUUUCCAUUCAUUAUCAAUGUAGUGAGCAGUUAUACAUAAAAAACCAGUGUGAAUUAAAGAUGUCCAAAUAUCAGAUGUUAAACAAAUAUUUCCUUCAAAAUUUGCAAAAAAAAUUUUUAAAAUUUCUUUUUGUGUAUAAAUUUUUUUUUCAUAAUAUCUAUUUUAACUGUAUUUCCAGACCAACCUUUAAAUUGAGGAUUAAUACCUCGUUGAAUUGUUCCUGCAAAAUCAUGAGUUUCCAUCAUGUUGAAAGGUUGUUCUGCUCUUAUUAUAUAAUCAAUCAUUUCUUCACGACAGUUAGAUUCAUCAUAAGAAAAUGUUUUUAAAUUUCCACUUUCAUUUUUACCUUAUUGCAUAUAAUUUUAAUAUCUACAUUAUUUUUAGUUUUACAAUUUUCAUGAUGUCUUUUUAAAUGACUUGUGCCUGCAUUUGAGCCACCAGUAAGAAAUUUAUUACAAAUUUUACAUUUUGCUUUUAUUUCUUUUUUAUUAUUUUAUAAAAUUAUUUCUAUUCUAUCAAAAAAAUUCCAUAUAUUUGAAGUAAUUUUUUUGUUUGAUGAUAUUUUAUCACAUGGACUAGAUGAAGAAGCACUUGUCAUAUUAUAAUUAUUGAUAAAAUAUUAUGCCAAAAAUAAUAAAGUAAUAAAUAUAAAAAAAAUGUAACAAAAAAAUAAGUAGUAGGGGUAAAGUAUGUUACUCAAUUAGAGAACCGAUGCAGAAAUUCCUAGCAAAUUUGAACUUUUGGAGCCACCGAUGCUUGUUUUGCACCACCAAUAAUAUUAUAUAAUUUGAGGGAAAAAUAAAAAAAUUUGAAAUAUUGUAGAAUGUGAGAGAAAUAGAGAGAAUUUGAUGAAAAAAAUGAAAAGGAAGAAAAUGUAUUUAUAGGAAGGUUAAAAAAAAAUUCAAAAUUCAAAAUAAUUGGUCAUGUGACUGUUGGAGGCUUAGCUCCAACGGUCACAUGGGCUGGAGCUAGGCUCCAACGAUCACAUGACCGUUGGAGCCUUUAAUUUUUUUUUAAAAAAAUAAUAUACUUUAUUUUUAUAUAUAUAUAUAUAUAACUAACUCAAUUAAUAAACAUAAAAAGAAUGUAGUUUAGUUGGUUAGAAGCUUAAAGUUUAAACAUGAGGAGAGGGGUUCGAAUCCCUCACUCUCCCUUCCCUUGGCUUUUUUGAAAGCUAUUUUGGCUUAAUUCAAAAAGCCCGUCGGCCAGUCCGCCAGCCCACGGGCUCAUAGGUCGGGCCCGCGGCCUAGCAUUUUAGCAUGACCCAGCCAGAGCUGGGCCGCGGGCCUCCUAUUUACGGCCCAACCUGGCCCGACCCGCCCGUUGGAGACCCCUGGUUAACACCAUUAUAUCUCUCAGCACCUACCUAUACCGCCAAUUGUGUCCUUAGUGUGAUGGGUCUUUCUUCUUGUCUAAGUGCACCCCAGUGCACUCACUAUGCACAACGUGGAAUGUGCAAGUUUGGGCUCACAUGCAAAUUUGAUCACUUAGAAACACAGAGUUAUUGUCCAUUCGUACCAUCUCUAGCUGAUAUGCCAGUUGCUCUCUGUCCUGUGGAAUCUUCUAUGGGUACACUUACACCCUCAUCUUCAUCUUCAGAUUUGAGGCUAGAAUUUAUCUCAGGAUCUAGCAAGGAAUUUCCUUCAACCAGAAUGUCCUCUCUUACGAGCAAACCUAGCGGUUCAGUUGGAUCAUUUCUUAAAAAAAUAAUGGGCCUGAUCAUUCUAGUAUCCAACAGCCUGGUUUAGUUGCGUUCUGGCUAUUAUAGUUUGUUCCUUUGUCACCACCCGAGACCGUCACUCCACCGGUGGCUGCGGUGGCUCCCAUUGUUGCCAUGGCAUAGGUGGCAUUCCUUCGCCUCAACCAGAGCUCUCUUCUACCACACACCCAGUUCACCUGCAUUCCGGAGCUAUUGCGGCUUGUUCCUUUGACCUGGGUUGCAGCCUCGCCGAUAGCUGUGGUAGCUUUCUUUACCGCCAUGGCAUGGACGAUGCCCCCCUUUGGUCCUCCUUACCGGAACAAUCCUAGGUUUGGGGUAGAUUUUUUCCUAGGACGAAAGUCUCGCCGAUGGUGGCAAUAUGACCAUCUUCCAUGCGUCACAUGCAGGAGCAUGUUUAGUCCAUUUGUUUGGCCCCUCUGUCAAAGUUAAAAAAAAAAAAAAAAAAAACUUAUAAACUCAUUUACUUUAUUCAUUCUU
RNAcentral lists this long non-coding RNA (15676 nucleotides) under Vitis vinifera (wine grape). RNAcentral's name for it is "long non-coding RNA (VVIN_LNC001739)". The record is from RNAcentral. Lineage: Eukaryota; Viridiplantae; Streptophyta; Magnoliopsida; Vitales; Vitaceae.